GUCGAGAAUAAUUCACAAUGGGGGAAACCCUGAUGGUGCAACGCCGCGUGGAGGAUGAAGGUCUUCGGAUUGUAAACUCCUGUCAUCCGGGAGCAAGACCUGGGCGUGAAUAGCGCACAGGUUUGAUAGUACCGGAAGAGGAAGGGACGGCUAACUUCGUGCCAGCAGCCGCGGUAAUACGAAGGUCCCAAGCGUUGUUCGGAAUCACUGGGCGUAAAGGGUGCGUAGGCGGCGUGGUAAGUCAGAUGUGAAAUCCCGGGGCUCAACCUCGGAACUGCAUCCGAUACUGCCAUGCUUGAGGGCUGGAGAGGUAACUGGAAUUCUCGGUGUAGCAGUGAAAUGCGUGGAUAUCGAGAGGAACACUCGUGGCGAAGGCGAGUUACUGGACAGCAUCUGACGCUGAGGCACGAAGGCCAGGGGAGCGAAAGGGAUUAGAUACCCCAGUAGUUCC
RNAcentral lists this ribosomal RNA (451 nucleotides) under uncultured bacterium. Its description in RNAcentral is "partial 16S ribosomal RNA". It matches the Rfam family "Bacterial small subunit ribosomal RNA", at positions 354 to 797 of the family's 1533-position model. The record is from RNAcentral.